RNAcentral lists this ribosomal RNA (253 nucleotides) under uncultured bacterium. Its description in RNAcentral is "partial 16S ribosomal RNA". It matches the Rfam family "Bacterial small subunit ribosomal RNA", at positions 524 to 777 of the family's 1533-position model. The record is from RNAcentral.
UACGUAGGGUGCAAGCGUUGUCCGGAAUUAUUGGGCGUAAAGAGCUCGUAGGCGGUCUGUUGCGUCGGCUGUGAAAACCCGGGGCUCAACUCCGGGCCUGCAGCCGAUACGGGCAGACUAGAGUUCGGCAGGGGAGACUGGAAUUCCUGGUGUAGCGGUGAAAUGCGCAGAUAUCAGGAGGAACACCAGUGGCGAAGGCGGCCUCUGGGCCUUUCCUGACGCUGAGGCGCGAAAGCGUGGGGAGCGAACCGGG